Long non-coding RNA from Ornithodoros turicata, 3109 nucleotides. RefSeq lists it as uncharacterized. The record is from RefSeq and is a predicted model, not a curated record. Lineage: Eukaryota; Metazoa; Arthropoda; Arachnida; Ixodida; Argasidae. The transcript is spliced from 3 exons.
GACUUUUGGCUUGGUUUCUUCCGCCAAGCCGGCCAGUUUCUCCUGCCGAGCCGUCUGCUGCGCAGAUUCACAUUGGGGAAGUGAUAAACAGUUCGCUAUUAGGGAGCCAAUAUAUUUCUGGACUUCACUAAACCCACGAGGAACGUGAGUUUUGCUUCCUUCGACUGCAAAGCAUUUGCUAGGCCAGUACAGACUUCCUGGUGUCAUUCGUGUUUUGUGCUGCGUGCCGAGAAUGCGUGAGCGUUUUGCUCCCGUCUGCAAGAACACUUCAGCAUGCAGUUCCAAUGUGUCAAACCACAAUUUUCCGAAAGGCGAAAGAGAAAUCUAUUGACUGCAACAAUCGGUUACAACUCCGACUGGGUGCCACCUUCGAAAGCAGUGAUUUGAUCUGCCUCAUACGAAUGUUACGGAAGCAAUGCGCAACUUGUUUCACAAGAAGCUGAAGAUGUCUCGUCCGGGAUGCUGUGCCAACUUUAUCUGCAGCAGGAGAUUGCAGGGGCACGACUAGGCAGCAGAUAAAGGCAUUCUGGCACCACCGAAAAGCUUGCACUCCACGUCUCAACUAUCACCGUCUGGGUUUCAAGCUGAAGGUUUUCACCAGUGCCAACCAGACGCCCCUUCAAAGUUCAUAUGUUUUUGUUGACGGAACAGUGACACCUGGUAAACCUGUCACGCAGAUGCCCUACCCCUUGGUAUGCAUAGUUCAAGAUUGUACCGAAACAAUCCACAUGGAGCAUUAUAACACGCCACAUACUGCAUGUCUAUGCUGCGUGUACAAUGCAGCAAACCUAUUCUCAGGUACAGGCCAGCUGGUACGCAAUUACAACAUGAAACUGACACAGGGACCGUAAAGUCAUGCCUUUUCCUCCGCGCCUCGGGUUUCAUGUUAUUAUCCUCACAUGCAGCUCAAUUCGCCUGUGCUGUGCAGCAUGAGCAAAAGCAUAUAUUGUUUGUGGUCACAUGACACGGAACAUAAAUACAGUGAAACCUUCCUAUGUUGGACACCCGCGGUGCAGCCGAAGCGUCUCCUACUUAUAGAGGUGUCCGAGUUACAGAAUAUGAGUGCAAACAAAAAAUGGAAGAGAUCACAGCUGUGAGAAAUGUCUCCCUUCUUCAAUUUAAGGUCCUUAGUGGUACCUGGUGGUGGUGCCUGGUAGUGGUACCUCUACCCACUCACUGAUAAUUAUUACUGAUUUUAGUAUAUUCAAUUCCGUUCAGAUUCUACUCAAUGGCAUUACCUCUGGAGCCUUUCGUGCAGCAAGGACUUGUUUCUGAAGCGUCAGCGUACUUCUCAUGGCUUUGGUGCAGUGCUCGUUCAAAGGCUCUAGACAAACUGAAGACAAGUGCUCACAUAAAGAAUUACAAUGUAGACUGACAGCACUUGUUUUUGGACUCUAAAAACUAAAGCAACAAAAUGCUGAGACCAGUAUAGGGGAAAAAAGGGGCAAAAGUCAAGGUCACUGGCUCAUUUUGGGUCUUUUUGGUGCAAAGAUGGGCCGAUAUUGAGGUAAUUUGGCCAGGGUUUUGUCCAACUUUGCAGGGAAAACCCUAUCCUACUUCCAAGAUAGGGAGGUGUCCGACAUAGAGAAUUUCGUCCCCAUGUAGUUUCAAUGGGAGCCUGCCCGUGCAAUGAAAUCAUGGGGAGUUGUCCGAGGUAGGGAGGUGUCCGACUUGAAGGUUUACUGUACUAUAGAGCAUUCUACAUCAUGUAAUCUAACAGUUGUUCACGUUUGGAUAUUUUAACCAUGGAAUUCACCCUGCAUGCACCAUACCACGUCCAAACACUAACAACUGCUAGAGAGCAGCAUGUACUGUUUCCGUAUAGCACUUAUGGCUUGCGUCCUGUGAUCGGAAACAGUGGUGUCUUUUUUCUGCUACAACCAGUAAACUACAGUAAAGAUGUAGAAAUACUGUGUCAUACCAUAAAGCACUAUGGGAAAUGGCAGUUUGAAAAACUGGAGAAGACUGUCAUUAGAACGGGGGACAUGUUCUACGGUGAAAUUUUUUACAGUGUGUGCUGCACCACGUAAUGCACUGCAGGCCUACCACAGUAUGGUAACGCUCUGGAUACUGAUUUACUCAAAAAAGGAAUCUGUGCGUUUCUUGUACUAACUUCCCUUUAUGCAAAGUAGUAGAAAAGUGUUUUCAGCCAAUGGGGAAGGAGAGGACAUCAUUCUGGAGUCUCGUUGACCUACAAUGUGUCGUGUGUGGAGGUCAUUUUGAAGAGUGUAGGUGAUACAAGACUGUGUUCCCACGUUCUUGGCAGUGUUGACUAAUAACCAUAAUAAAGUAGUGGGUACAUUUGUUGCUUCAUAUAUUUGUGUCAUGGCAAAGUAUGUAGAGAUACAUCUGUCUCAACAUGCAGGUGACAAAACUGCUUUUUAUGCCUAAACUAUGACAAAUAGUUGUCUGUUCAGCACCACUAAUCAUGUGCCAGCCUCCAUGACAUGUCUGUGACAUUCCAAAGUGAUUAACAUGUCCCAUAGAUGUGUGCAAUGCUGAAGAUGACUGUGUACCUUCUAUGGAUUCUUGAUUCAAGAAAAGUACUGUGUGAUUUGCUAACGGUGCCUGGCUGUACCUUCACAAUUCUACAUAAAAAUAUGUAAAGUUUGCCGAAGGAAAUAUCAUGAAGGUCGAUAGCGAAAAACCCUGAGACGAGGGAUAGGAAGGGACAUACACAAUGUCUCAACAUAGCUUGUUUAUGUCCCUUCUUGUAUCUCCUCUUCAGGUCUCGCCAUCAUGGCCACUAUCACCAGUUAGUUUGCUGUUGAACCGUUCUUUCAACGAUAAGGGUCACUUUCAUGGACUGGAUGGCAGCCAACAUGCUGUCAAUAAAAAGAAUAAUGGAAGGAGCUCAAUAUGAUCCUUAGGCUGUGCGUGGUUAUUGCUUUCUGACAAAUUCGUGACUUCGAAUUCCAGGACAGUGCCUGUAGUGGUAGUAUUCUUGUGUUCUCACCCUUGACGCCCAUUGUGUGUCAUCGGUCACCUAUAAUCUGCUAAUAUGCACAUAGCUAAAACAAAGUAUAUUUGUAUUUCUUUGAAUACAGUUGGUACAGCACAUUGUUUUUUACAUGUUCUUUGGAAAAUAUAAAUAAAAAAUUCUCUACUC